UUACGAGGUAUACUUCACCGAGAGAGGUUACGAGGUAUACUUCACCGAGAGAGGUUACGAGGUAUACUUCACCGAGAGAGGUUACGAGGUAUACUUCACCGAGAGAGGUUACGAGGUAUACUUCACCGAGAGAGGUUACGAGGUAUACUUCACCGAGAGAGGUUACGAGGUAUACUUCACCGAGAGAGGUUACGAGGUAUAUACUUCACCGAGAGAGGUUACGAGGUAUACUUCACCGAGAGAGGUUACGAGGUAUACUUCACCGAGAGAGGUUACGAGGUAUACUUCACCGAGAGAGGUUACGAGGUAUACUUCACCGAGAGAGGUUACGAGGUAUACUUCACCGAGAGAGGUUACGAGGUAUCUCAGUGAGGUGGGAUAAUGGCCCUUUGCUUUAAGUGUUUCGUUUCCAUUACGUAUCGCUUCUUGUUCUUGUUAUAUUUAUCCCUUGUUUAUGUUUGUUCGUUGUUAUGUUUUUGUCGUAUAGUAAAUUAUUGAUGUUAUUUCGUUAUUAUAAUUCCGGUAUCAUUAGCGAGGGAAAGUUAAAUGUGAGUUACGUAGAGUGAGGUGUUAUCUGAAUCUCUAUUGUUACGGUGCUUUUUGGUCAUAUGUGUAAUGAUCAAUAGUACAGUUAAGCAGAGCAUGUAAACCCAAAGAACAUAUUAGUAUUCAGAUUUAAUUAAACCAUUUAUGACAACAGACAUGAUAAACUAACCAAACAUUAUAUUGUAGAACGUUUGAUCAGAUUAAUAAGUUGGGUUAGGUUUAGUUGGUUCACAAUAUACUGUAUUCGGGUAACUGCGGUGUAGGAGAUAUGUAUCGUCAUGUAAUUAGGGUUUUAUAUUACUGGAAGCAACUAUUCAUUCGUUCCCUCGUGUCGUAGGUAAACUGGUCCGGCGUGAAUUGGUUUUCUCUUAAUGAUCUGUCCGAGAACUGCUCGUUUUCUAUGUUGACGCCAGCGGUCGAAGUUGAGAGUGUGUGGCGCCGUGAGGGCCUGUGAGGGGAGGGGGGUAGUCGUGGCGUCAGGAUUAUGAGGCUCUGGUGCCAGUUGUAGCGGCGCGCGGCGAGUGCCACUAGGGGUUUCUGGCGUCAAGCGGCACCAGUACCAACUGUACAUCUCCUCUUUGUGUCUAGCAAACAAAAGCAAUUUUUCAUCACUACGAUAUUGUUUACAAAGUGUGUUACGAAGUGAAUGAAAUUAUCUAUGUUGAAUAUUAAUCAACGAAUUCUAAAUCUUUUCUAAAUAGUUUUAAUUUGUUUACUUUUCGAUGGAGGAUUCCAAUAGAGACGUUAUAGACCCAAGGUGAAGGAGAAGGUGCUCCGCCAACGUGACCUGGUAAAACUGUUGCCAGUGGUGCUAGCGGGAGUGGCAACUUCCGAGCGCCAUCAGUGUGCCGGCGGCUGGCGUAGGGUGCAUGUCGGGCGAGGUGUGAGUGUGCUACUGGCCGUGCUCUGGUGUGUUGGCUGAACCUCUUACUAAGGCUCGACUGCCACAUCGCUCCCCACGCACGGAUUACCGCAAGAUCACACAGUUUACACCACCGUUUUGUCCACGACAGGAGCCCCGCUAGCCGGAGCCAGGGGCUCCAAACUACCCACACAAGCUUGGUUCAGAGCACUGCUUUAAGAAACUCGACUAUCGACUGGGCGAUUACAGGGGCUCGGAGCUCCGACCUGACCGAACCGUUGCUCGCUAACACCUGCAUCAUCACCGAGGAUUCGAACCAUCCCAUGGUCGACUCCUCCCACUAAAAAGGUGAGAAAAUAAACGACAGAAGACAUCCACCCGCCGAGGUAGGUGAGGCCAGCCUCCCGAGACACUGGGUAA
RNAcentral lists this long non-coding RNA (1828 nucleotides) under Homarus americanus (American lobster). RNAcentral describes it as "uncharacterized LOC121855276". Lineage: Eukaryota; Metazoa; Arthropoda; Malacostraca; Decapoda; Nephropidae. The record is from RNAcentral.